AAAUAAAAGACACUUUUGUUUUGUUUUUGUUUUUGUUUUUCCUCAGAGGAGAAGACCAUAUGGUGGAGAGACUGACAUGAAACCACUCUAACAAAAUAAGUCGACAGUUUUGGCAACCAGGAAGGAAACCAGAGCAGACGUCUCUCCUUCGCCUGGCUCUGUGAGGAUCUGAGCCUUGGUAGCAGCAGAGGCCUUGUGGGCCCAUCCGCCUCCUCGGAGAGUCCAGAAGAAUUUGGACUUUAAAUGAAGCAAGAACAUAGUCAAGAAAACCUCUAGCGAACACAAAGAUUUUGAGAAAAAGAUAUACUCAAGUCCCACCUCCCACCAAGAAAGAGGUAAGGUCAUGUGGUUAUAUGUGGUAGAUUCAUCAGUUAAUUCAAUACUUAUGAUUUUUGCCCAAGUUCAUGUUGAGCACUAUUCAGGUUGCUGUUGAUACAGUAGGUAAAGGGGAUAGACAAGCUCUCUUCUCUCAUGCUGAUAACACUUUAUUGGGGAAUGGCAGACAGUACAAUAAAGACAAGUAAACAAGACAGUAUCAGUUAAGGCAAGUUACUUGGAGAAAAAAAAAAUACCACUAGAGAGUGACUGGUGCCUACAUAAAUAAGAUAAUAUUAGGGUAUUUCCGGGAGACUUAAAUGACAAGUGGGAGCCAGUCCUUCAAAGAUCUGAAGGAAAAACAGCAGAGAAGAACUAGAGGAAAUGGAAAAAUGCCAUUGUGACCAGACAGGAUGCUGUGUGCCUUGUGGAACUGUAUCAUUCUUCACAAGAAAUACAUUUCUUGACCCUCUCCACCAGUCCAAAUUCAAACCUCCCAUUUUCUACAAAUUCUUCCCUUUUGCCUCCAGUUCUUUCAAAUGUUUUCCCUUAGAAAUUUUUUUAAACUUAUUUCAAUAGUACAGGGAAACUUCACACCUAAUUACAUAUAAUGAAAAUGCUUCUGCAUGGCUCUCUUAUGUCCUCAGAGUACAUAAUUAUCUCUUCAGUAAUGAGAACUGUGUCUCUUUAUGUAUUUUGUCCUCCAUAGUGAUAAUUCUUAUGGGUGUAUGAUAUUAACAAAAUAAGAAUCUUGAAGCUUGUUUAAGUUCUACCAGGACUUGCCAUUGAACCCUGGGUCUGUGACUUACUCAUUAGAUUUUCUAAUUCUAGAGUAAUGUUUAUAAAAAGAAAAGAGGAAUGCCUUGGGGGUAAUAACCUCAGUAACUUGCACAAUAGUGACAGAAGUACGUUAAAUAAGAGUAAAGCAGUUGAAGCCGCUCAGAUUGGGCACAUUUAUCCAGUGUAUCCUCAAGACUUAAUCCUUGGUUAAAGGACUUAGACUUGCUUCUUAGCUGCUAGCUGUCAGUUCUCAGGCUUAGCCUUCAGAGACUGACCAGUGUUUUUCAGUAACUUCCUUUUUUUUCUCGCUUGGAUUUUGGCAGCGAUUUAUGCAGAAACUUACAUUGCAGAGACUCCAAUCUUCAAGAAAGGGGACGAAACAUGACAGGACUUUGUAGUUAAUAAAUUGAACACGUCUCAGUGAUGCAGUGUGGUUUUCCAAAUAUAGAGACUAAACAAUUACUUGAAAUUCUAUUCAGACCCAUACACAAUCAUGAACAAGCAGGAACAAAAUGCAUAUAGAAAUGCAUAUGAUGGUAAAUGGCAGUGUCCCCAGGAAAAACAUUAAAGAAAAUCUUUCAUUCCAGUCUUCCAGUUGGUUUGCACUGAUGAUUUCAGGAGGUAAGUUUUUACCUUGAGAACUGUCAAAUGAUAGUCAACCAAAAAUGGUCUUCAGUAUUAAAAAAAUAUUCUGCUAGAUGUUUCAAAACAGGAUCUCAGGAUGGUGUCUCAGGUCUCUUGCUUGAUUUAAGGGUUAGGAUGAGGGGGUGGUGCCAUAUCUAAGUGGUAGAAAGAGAAUCAUUAAAAAAAAAAAGGGUUGGGGUGAAUGCAGGAAAACCAAUAAUGGGUAUUCAUCAAGUUGAUGGGAGCCCUUGAAUAAGAUAGAAGGAUUCUAUAUUUUGCUGCAUGGUCCCUCUUUAAAGCUGAUAUUUAUAUUUUUAAAGUACUUAAUGUUAAAGAUCUCUCUAUUUUGUUUUUAUCUGGUUCCAAAAAAAUAAGGGUCAGGCAGCCAAGAUAAAAUCACAAUGGAAUUCAGAGAAUGACAAAAACAAAGUGUUUGGGAGCCCUCGGUGUGGAGCUUAAAAAGAGUCUAGAUUGUAUGAAAGAUGUGUGAUGCAGACAACUCUUGCACCCCACUUCACCAUGCUCUGAGCCCUACCUGGCACUCCAAACUCUGCUACAGUGAGGUGACCAUCUCCAUGUGACCCUCCAUCAGCUGUGGCAGAGGCAACCCAACAGUGCUCUUCCUUGGGUCACAUAACUACCACUUACUGCCUAGAGACUUCUCUGACACUUGAGCAUGGGAUAUUCUUGGAAUCUUGCAAAAUGUUCAGAUGUGCUGGGAACUUAAUAUCUGAGGAGUCUGUCUGUCCAAACAGGGAUGGGAACUGACAGAUAAAUGCUUUUAUCUUUCAUCCCCUAAGCAAACAGCUCUGACGUAUUUCAUAAGUCUUCUCAGAAUGUGUCACGGGCUUGAGUGCCAGUCACCUGUUUGGUGGCCAACUUGAUAAUAUAUUCUAGAACCAGCUUUUGCGUCUUUCCUCUUUCACUUGUCCUGUUAUGGGCUUCUAUUCCUUAGAAUCAGAUGCUCCUCAAAAUUAUUGGCAAUCAAGUCUUUGUCUCAGCUCUUUGGAAAAGACUAAAACUAAAACAGUGAGGAUAUAGAGGAAGAAAGAAGGAAAAAAAAAACAGGAGUAAAUAAACCAUGUAUUGUUCCUAAAAGAGUAGACAGUUAACUGAUUUAUGUCCUAAAUCAAGGCUAUGUUGUUAUGAGUAACUUAGAGAAAGUGGGAGAGUUUUACAGGUAACUGGGAUUUUCAAGUUUCUGAUUGACUCAGAGCACAAUCCCCAAAUGCCCCAUUCUCCAGGGUUUUAAAUGUGUUGUCUAAAUGGAGAUCUAGAAAAAUAUAUUUCCUUCCAAUCCCAA
Vicugna pacos (alpaca) is the source of this 3022-nucleotide non-coding RNA. Lineage: Eukaryota; Metazoa; Chordata; Mammalia; Artiodactyla; Camelidae. The record is from RefSeq and is a predicted model, not a curated record.